AAGAAGGACGUGACAAGCUGCGAUAAGCUGUGGGUAGGAGCAAAUAUCCGACAAACCACAGAUUUCCGAAUGAGGGAACCCGCCUGUGGUAAUGUGCAGGCAUUCAUAAGUAAAUACAUAGCUUAUGAAAAGGUAACGCGGGGAACUGAAACAUCUAAGUACCCGUAGGAAGAGAAAGAAACAUCGAUUUUCCAAGUAGCGGCGAGCGAACGGGAAAGAGGCCAAACCACAUACAAGUAUGUGGGGUUGCGGAUCACAAUAAAGCGAGAGAAAGUCAGUCGAAUACAACUGGAAAGUUGAGACAAAGAGGGUAAUAUCCCCGUAGACGAAGAUGGAAACGAGCGAAGUGACACCAGAGUAGGAC
Molecule: ribosomal RNA, 364 nt
Filed under: gut metagenome
Description: bacterial LSU rRNA
Rfam family: Bacterial large subunit ribosomal RNA
Source: RNAcentral